AGCCGGGUCGUCUAGCGGCCAAGGAUGCGGGGCUCUGGCCAACCCCCGUGACCGGGGUUCGAAUCCCCGCCCGGCUACCA
Molecule: transfer RNA, 80 nt
Filed under: Staphylothermus hellenicus DSM 12710
Lineage: Archaea; Thermoproteati; Thermoproteota; Thermoprotei; Desulfurococcales; Desulfurococcaceae
Description: tRNA-Gln
Rfam family: tRNA
About the family: Transfer RNA (tRNA) molecules are approximately 80 nucleotides in length. Their secondary structure includes four short double-helical elements and three loops (D, anti-codon, and T loops).
Source: RNAcentral